UUGCUCCCUCGUGUCCAGUUGUUCGGCACGUUGGGUUUUUGUUACCCCCGUUUUAUAAAAAAAUAUAAAAUUAUAAAUAUAUUGUACAUGGAUAUCCCAUUUUGGGCUUCUUUUCUUUAGUGUUGUCUUGAUUGCUUAUUUUCGUUGCAGAUUCUUUCAAGUCACAGCUGGCGUGGAGAGACUACGACCUGGAGGAAAAGGGCCAUUGGCAGUCAUGCCAGUCGGGGACCCGGCGGCCGGAAUGCCACUUCGGCCGAAGAGCAGAGGAUGAGAAUGCGCUGACAUAGUGAGGAGUCAUCUGGGCGUCACAUUCUGCAGAGCGAAGUUUUAGCUGGACCAGGCGUUGAUCAUUUUGUGCUGCUUAUCUUGGGAUAUCAUGAACCAACUAGAAAGGGGUUCCUCAUUCCAAAGAAGAAAAUCCCAAAAAGGAAAAAUGCAGUGUGAACCCACCCUAAGAAAUACAGGUUAUAAAUAUAGUAGGGAAGAAAAUUGCUGGUGGCUCAGAGCUAAAGUUUACAGUGGCCAAACUGAACAAUGAAAAUGGCCAGCUAUGGAAGUUUCAAAUGGAGAUAGAUAUUCCUAUUUAGAGAUGACAUCUGGGAGAGGAUUACAGCCAUGGGCCACCAUAAGCUUAUAAGUGGUGGAUGACCAGCGGAUCCACGUAAGACAAAGCACUGCUUAAGAAAAAAGAUGUGAAAAGCGCUGCAAAAGUAGCAUGAAUGACCCAGUAUGGACGAACCAGCCAUGGCAAGUUAUUGCUGCUUACGAAAUGAACUAAUGCACUGGAGACAAAGCCAGAGGCAGACCUGACCUUGGAAUUUUUAAAGAACAGGAUAGGAACUUUUGCAGGACUCCAUAGAUGAUGACACCGAAAAUGUUCUCUAAAUGGGCACUGUCAGAAUCAAAAACUGUCAGAAUCAAAUGGUGAAAUAUUAACCUUUUUAAUCUACUUCAUAAAAAAAUGUUAUCUCUUUUUUUAUAGAAAUCAUGGCUUAUAAAAAAAAAAGACCACUAGGGGUCACCAUACC
This is a long non-coding RNA of Hyla sarda, 1028 nucleotides long. RefSeq lists it as uncharacterized. Lineage: Eukaryota; Metazoa; Chordata; Amphibia; Anura; Hylidae. The transcript is spliced from 4 exons. The record is from RefSeq and is a predicted model, not a curated record.